AUUUGACAGACCCCUGGACAACAUAAAAUACCUACUUUACCCUUUUAGUUUCAAUUUAACCCUAACCACAUUAGCCUCUCUCUUCCACUCCCAAGUCCCACCCACAAUCCCGACACGCCAUUGCCAUCUAUCUCUUUCUAUCCCUUUCUCUAACUCUCCCUUGUCAAAACAGAAAACCACCAUAGUGGAAAACUCUCUGGCGGCAGCGGCAACGAAGAAGAAGCGGAAGGCCGGCAAAGGAUAAGGAUGGAGGAAGGUUAAAGGAGAUCGACAACGAUGACGAGGAGGACGGCGGCGGCGAGGAGGAGGAGAACGGGAUCCGUAUUCCGCCGCACGAGUUCUGGCUCGGCAAAUGGCGAGGACUAAGAUCGCUUCCUUCUCGGUGCACGAAGGGAGAGGUUCUUUGAAAAAAAUUACAAAUCUGUAGGCAUAUUCAAUGGUACAAAAGGAUGGGCAUGAUACAGAGAAUACUAACAAAGUACUGCUGAAAUGACUGCGUUUGUAUUGCUUUGUAUAACAUUAUGAGAUGCAAAUACUAAGAUGCAGAGAAGUGCCAUGUAAAGUUGCAUUCAUGCUACAGUACUACAGACUUAUGCUACUUAUAUAACUAUAGAUAAUUGUAGAUAAUUAUAGUCACAUGUAGUAACAUAUAGUUAUAUGUAUGUUAUGUGUUUUUUUAAUGUAUUGCGUGUUCAUGUUUUGAAGUUUAUUUGCAUGUUGUGA
Molecule: long non-coding RNA, 723 nt
Organism: Erythranthe guttata (spotted monkey flower)
Lineage: Eukaryota; Viridiplantae; Streptophyta; Magnoliopsida; Lamiales; Phrymaceae
Source: RefSeq, a predicted model, not a curated record